This 497-nucleotide ribosomal RNA is filed under the name uncultured bacterium. RNAcentral describes it as "partial 16S ribosomal RNA". It matches the Rfam family "Bacterial small subunit ribosomal RNA", at positions 28 to 507 of the family's 1533-position model. The record is from RNAcentral.
GAUGAACGCUGGCGGCGUGCCUAAUACAUGCAAGUCGAGCGAACAGACGAGGAGCUUGCCCCUCUGCCGUUAGCGGCGGACGGGUGAGUAACACGUGGAUAACCUACCUAUAAGACUGGGAUAACUUCGGGAAACCGGAGCUAAUACCGGAUAAUAUAUUGAACCGCAUGGUUCAAUAGUGAAAGACGGUUUUGCUGUCACUUAUAGAUGGAUCCGCGCCGCAUUAGCUAGUUGGUAAGGUAACGGCUUACCAAGGCAACGAUGCGUAGCCGACCUGAGAGGGUGAUCGGCCACACUGGAACUGAGACACGGUCCAGACUCCUACGGGAGGCAGCAGUAGGGAAUCUUCCGCAAUGGGCGAAAGCCUGACGGAGCAACGCCGCGUGAGUGAUGAAGGUCUUCGGAUCGUAAAACUCUGUUAUUAGGGAAGAACAAAUGUGUAAGUAACUAUGCACGUCUUGACGGUACCUAAUCAGAAAGCCACGGCUAACUACGUG